UCGAGUUACUGGACUAAACGCAGAAAAAUUAAGAAGGGAGUCAUGCAGGAUUUGCUCAAACUAGGGUCCACAUCUGUAUAGUGCGAGGAGAGAGAUGGUAUCAUGGAUUUUGAGAUCACAGAGCUUCCACUGCAGGAGUCAAAUAGGGAUGAGUUAGGCCUAGCUGAUAGCAAUAGUGAAACGAUGGAUGGAGACAUUUUAACUGUGAGUUCAGAGGAUAACACAGAUGACAGUACAGAUGAAGAAGACAUGAAGAAGUUACUAGCUGAUUGGGCUAUCGGAAAACAAAUUCCACAUUCGGCAUUAAAUGAACUUCUAAAGAUUCUGACCAAGAAAAUACCUGAAUUUGGGUUACCUAUAGAUCCAUGGACUUUGUUGAAAACAAAACCUGUUGUAAAAACUAAAGUCAUCACUGGGGGAACCUAUUUCCAUGCUGGCUUUGCUCAUGGUGUGCUAUCUCACCUCACCAUGCACCCAAUGCUACCUGAACCUGUGUCUCUCCAAAUAAAUAUAGAUGGCCUGCCAUUAUACAAAAGCUCAACUGCUCAGUUUUGGCCUAUAUUAGGGCUAGUAGAAGUCUUUGAUGGUUUGGUCCAGACUAACAAGUCCCCAUUUGUCAUUGGGAUAUUCUUUGGUCAAAGGAAACCUACUAGUCUUGAGUGUUUGCAUGACUUUGUUGAGGAAGCAGAAGGGCUAGAAGCCAAUGGUAUUUCUUUUGGAGAAAGAAAUGUGCCUGUGAAAAUCUCUGCAAUUGUUUGUGAUGCUCCAGCAAGGGCAUUUGGCAGAAACGCAAAGGGUCACAAUGGUUACUACGGCUGUGAAAAGUGCCGUCAAAAGGGAGUCUUCUACCUGAAUUGAAUGACCUUCCCAAACAUGAAUGCUCCUCAAAGGACUGACCACGACACUUUUGAUGAGUUCACAGAUGACUGUCACUAUAGUGGGAUAACACCUUUAGGUAGAUUGUCAAUUGGUCUGGUGACACGGUUUCCACUUGAUUAUAUGCAUCUGGUGUGUUUGGGAGUAACACGAAAGCUGGUAACUCUAUGGCAGAAAGGGCCCCUGACAACUCGUUUAAGUCCUUCGGUUGUUUCGAAUACAUCCACAAAGCUGAUUGACGUAAGACCACAUAUUCCAUCAGAAUUCAACAAAAAACCCAGAUCUCUGAAAGAAUCCAACCGAUGGAAAGCAACAGAAUUUCGGACGUUUCUCUUGUACACUGGUCCUGUCUGCCUUAAAGAGCAUCUUGCAAGAGCUAUGUACGAGAACUUCAUGCUGCUUGCCGUCGCCAUGACCAUUCUCCUAAGUAUCUCCUUGUGUGUAGAUUAUGCUGACUACGCUAAAGACCUCCUAGUGUUGUUUGUGGACCACUGCAGCUGCCUGUAUAGAAAAGAAAAUGUCGCAUAUAACAUGCACAGCCUAAUCCAUCUCAGUUAUGAAGCACAGACAUUUGGUGUCCUUGACAAUAUCUCCUGCUUUCCCUUUGAGAAUUAUCUUGGUCAGCUGAAGAAAAUGAUUCGGAAACCCAACAAGCCUUUAGAACAGGUCAUACGGAGACUGUCAGGAAGAGAGGCCAUGGGAGCAACUCAGUCAGAGGCUAAUCAUGAAAUGCAAAAGGAGCAUACUGAUGGUCCAGUUCCAAUUUGUUUAACUGUGAAAAGGCAGUUUGACAAAAUGCAGUUCAACAGUUUUUUGGUACAGAGGUCUACUGGCAACAAUUGCAUACAGCUGAGGAACAAGGAUAUUGUGCUGGUGGAAAACAUUGUACUAGAAGAACAUGGGGAUAUUUUCAUUGUGUACAAAAGAUUUAGGAGCCAAACAGACCUUUUCUCUUACCCCCUGCUGUCAUCCAAGCUGGACAUUUUCCUUAUGUCUACAUUGAAGAAUGAGCUUCUUUUUACAAAAUCCACAAAUCUAUUAAGAAAAUGUGUUCUACUCCCAUGCAAAGAGGGCUUUGCUGGGAUGGCUUUACUCCACAUGUAAUAUCCUGGACUUUUUUUUACUCAAGGGAUGACAGUUUUAUUAAGUACUAUGUUUGCAGUGGUUACAUUUUCAAAUGAAGAAAACUGUUUAGCUGUGGUCUCAAAGAGUUGGUGCACAAAGAAAAGAUGUUAUUGGCCUCCAUAUAAAACCCAGGAGAGAUUGCGGAAGGCAGUGAUCUUGCAUGGACUUCCAGACAUUAAUACAUGGGAGGUGUUCGCCAUGGAGAUAUUGAAGAUCAAGGAUUCGUUUGACAAAGCACAUGAGUGCCUGGUUCGGGCUGAGAAAGAUUCAAGUCUUGAAACAGAACCAGAAACCACACAAAGGAAACAAAAGCGAAAUCCAAAGUACGACCAGUCUGACUGAGGAGUCUGACGCUGCUGAACACCCCUUCUCCCCAGCGCCGAAGCCCCCCAGCUUUACCACUAAGAAAAGUUCCAUUCUGUCCUCCUCAUCACUGGGUUCAGCUGCUCACCAGCCUGAAGUGUCUGGAGAGAGAUCAGUGGCCAACUUGCCAGUGUUUCAAAGUUCCAGUCAGUCCUCAUCACUGGGCCCUACUGCUCGCCAGUUUGAGGAUUUCCAACGGCUGAUUUUUCAGCAUCAGAGGGAAAUGGCAGAGGAAGUGAGGGAGUUGCGCUACCAGACAACACUGAACCGUAACGUCUGACUACAGCUGACCAAUGGGACACAUUUGGUCAUGGUUUUGGCAGAGGACGUUCUGCUUCCUCUGAAAGAUCGGCUAAUGCUGGAAGACCUUGAACAAAGGCUUGCUCAAGAUGUUGAACUUCAAGAGAAACUGGUCAGGUUUUUGGCUGCUAAAGGGGGAAAAUCCACCAAAGACUCAGUGAAGAGGAUGUUCUCCUGCAUGUUCAGCAAUGAUUUAACAAAGCUCUGCAACUGGACCGGCUUGGGCCAGAAGAUUGCAUUCAAGGGUCUCAUUUUAAAGAACAUUGUCCAUAGAGCAAUUAGAAAGAACCCAGGGACCAGAGAUGCAACAGAAGGGAGUCUCCAGAAAAUUGCAUCCAAGUUUAUGAAGGGAGCUGCAGACAGAGAUGGGGGAAGAAGAUACAGACAAAAGACUGUGUAGCACACUUCUAUACCAACUACUUUAUCUUUAGAAAAUGUGUAGAUAUGUUCACAAUUUGUUUGCACUAUGUUCACUUGUAUUUUUUUGCACUAUUUGUUUUUUUUAUACGAUUUGUAUUUUUAUAUUGUAUAUUAUGGCCAUUUUAUAUUUCAUAUUCUUUAUUUUAUUCUAAAUUGUACAUUGUGCCCAAGGGCGUAACCACGCAUUCUUUGAGGGGGUCGUGUCCCCCCCAAUAUUGAGAAAAUACAAAUCUGUCCCCCCCAAUAUACAGCAGAAAAUUGUAAAAUAUAUGUUCUCUUUUUAUGAACCCAGUCAAUGGAUCGGUCUUAUGUCUUAUUUAUUUUCAAUGUAUUUCCGUUUGUUAAGAAAAACAUAAGUGUGUGAAUCCCCCCUCCGAAUUGCACACUUCUGUGAUCCACCUUGCGUCGUUCUGCGUUGUAAUGGUUACCUAAAACUUUUUCGUUAGUCAGUUGAGCUCAAAGAAAGUAAGGUUAGUUAACUUAUUGGAGAGGGCUAAAAAGCGAAAAAACUUGACCAGCAGCCAAGCAUAUGCGUUUUUUUUCAGACAGCAAGUAACUUGAUACCUAGCUAAAUGUGUAAGCAAGUAAAACCUGUAGUAAAACAAUGCAGGCACGGCAAUGAACUGUCUCAGAGAAAUUUCACUAUUCCUUUAGAAGUGAAUUCAAAUGGUCAAUGUAGUCCUUGAAACUAUGUUCUAAAUGUGCACAUUUUCAUAGGCCUAUAUAAAUUGUAGGCAAUGCAUGUAGAGCUAACAACAACAAAAACUCGUCACCUUUCGGCGAAAUUCGCCGUUUUUGAUCCAAAAUAGGUCAAUUGUGUGAUUCAUGUAGCUAGAUCUGCAUUUUAAAAAAGGGGUUCCUCCAAGUAGCGUUAGCCUAGUCUGCGAACGCAAACUGUCAUGAAUAUUUUUUUCAAGCUUGUUGUUUGGCCAAACAAUGUCAACAUGACACGCACGCUUUUCAUUUCGAGUCAUCGAGUCUGUAACUCCCAGAGCCCCAGACAUGACUUCCGAAAUUUGUGGUUACGAAAUUCUAAUUCGUGGCCAUUGACAUUUUCCAAAUAUGAGUCCUUCCGACGACAUAUUUACAGGAAGCAUUAAGACAUUAUAGCCAGACGAGCCACUGCACAUGAUAUCCAGGAAACAGUUGUGGGGGAGGAUGAGCAGGGGCCCAGUGAUGCUGUCAAUCCUCCUGAACCUCCUGAUAUGAAUGAACUGUUAGUGCAGUUUAGAGAGAAUCUUUUUGGCUUUAUUCUGAAAUCAAGGGAAAAAAACACCUUCCUCAGACUGUUCAACAAGAAAUACUGGAUGACGUACAUUUUUUGUUCGACUUCUUUAAAGCAAACUAUGAUGCAUUUCUAAAAUAUCAUCUCGAAAAAAAUUGCUUCAAUGUGGAAUCUUGUCCUGAACUUUAUCAAGUUCUGCAGUGCCCCGACUUUUUUUCAGAGGCACCAAAACUUGUUAGGUCUCCGUAUAUGUUGAAAUACUACUGCAAAUCCAAGCUUGAAAUUACUGAACCUGUAGACUAUUCAUUGAGAGACCCAAGUGGUCGUAAAGUUGGAAGCUACUCUUAUGUACCCAUUUGUGAUGUGCUUCAGAAAUACUGCAUUCGUGAAGAUGUUUGGGAUUCUAUGCAGAGAGAGCGAAACUGUGAAAGAGAUGUGCAUGUUCUAACUGAUUAUAGAGAUGGAUUUUAUUUCCGGAACCACAAGUUCUUUGCAGAUAAUCCAGAUGCCCUAAGGUUACACCUAUAUGAGGAUGAAUUUGAGGUGUGUAAUCCGCUGGGUUCUAAACGCAACAAACACAAACUUUGUACAUUUUACUACAUUGUUGGAAACAAUUAGUUUCCAAGUACUGCUCACAGCUAAAACAUAUCCAGAUAGCUUUGCUUGUCCGUUAUGUUUACAUCAAAAAGUUUGGUUUGGAUGUAAUUUUGAAACCAUUACUGGAUGACCUUAAGAGACUGUCAUCAGAGGGACUUGCUAUCAUUGUUAAUGGCAUUGAGAAGCAUGUUUUUGGAGCUGUUGCUGUUGCUGAUGACAAUCUGUCAUCUCACAUGAUAGGUGGAUUUACCAUGUCUUUUGGUGCUGGUCGAAUCUGUAGAUACUGCAUGGCUACUCACUCUGAGAUGAAAAAGAACUUCAGUGAAUCAGAUUUUGUUUUAAGAAAUGUUGAUGUACACAGAUACCAUUUAGAAUGUGUAAAACAAAAUCCAGAAAACAAAGGAAUGUAUGGAGUUAGUGGUGUAUUUGACCAGUUAGAUUACUUUGACGUCACAACAUCUCUUCCUCAUGCAUGAUUUCUUGGAGGGUGUAGCACCGUUAGUAUUGAGGCUUGUUGUAUGUAAAGCUCAUCACGAAAAACAUAUAACCAUACAAGAACUAAAUGAGGAACUAAAAAAAUGUCCAUUGGACAAAAUGAUAGGACAAAUAAGCCUGUGCCUUUCUCAGAAAAUCGUUUACAUUCCUUCAGUAUUGUUGGAUCUGCUUCACAGAAGUGGUGUUUAUUCCGCCUACUUCCUUUCUUGAUGGCACACAGGGUACCUGAAGGCUGCAGUUACUGGCGGAUCUAUUUAUUGUGUCGUGAAAUUGCCAACAUUGUAAUGGACUUGUUGAGAAUAAUGGAUCAAGUAAUGACAUUUUGGAGUUAUCACAUUUCCAAACUUUUUUUCCAUACCACACAAAAACUCUGAAACCAAUUGGUCAAGAAGAGGAAGAGACUUUUUUAACAACCAGUUGAUAAUUCUUGUUUGUUCCAGACAUUGUUCCCUCCUGCCAGUUCCUUGUGGGUACCUUUGCUUCUCUACCUUCUCCUGGAUUUUUGACCUUCUGCCUGCCUGAUACGACUAGCCUACUCCCUUUGAACCUUUGCUGAAUAAAUCCGCACUCUGCGCUUGGGUCUACUCUAGGAGGCAGGAGUAGACCCGAGCGCAGAUAGGAUAGUCAUAUCCAGUGUUCAGGCAGAAGGUCAAAAAUCCAGGAGCGGGUAGAAGCAAAGGUACCCACAAGGAUCAGGCAGGAGGGAACACGAUCUGGAACAAACAAGAAUUAUCAACAAGAGGCUAAACAGGAAAUCGGAUCAACACUCAAUGUGACAGUAAACUGCACAAGACUUUGCAAGGGACACAAGGGAAUCAGGGGUAUAUCUACAGACCAGUUUGAUGGGUAACCAGACACAGGUGUGCAGGGAUAAGUGGGCAACUCUAUCCAAGGAGUGGGUGUGCACAACAGAUAGGCAGAAACAGAAUGGAACAAACCAACAGUAAACAGGGGAUCCAGAUUUGAAGGCCUCAGUACUCAGGGGAAGAGGAGCGCUGGAUCGUGACAGCUGGGUUGUAGCGUUGUGGAUGAGAACGGCAAACAGCUCAAAGCUUGUUUUUUAAAUUCAGAACACAGACAUCAUUCAGUGUUUUUUUUUAUGUUUUUAUAUUGAACACAAAAUCCUAAAACAUUGUUGCAUUUUAUUUUUGGAUGUGAUAUUGUAUGUUUGUGAGAUCCUGUCAAUUGUUUUCCAUUUUAAGGACUAAAAUAAAUGUCUAAAAUCAGUUGUUGUUUGCCUUUUUUUCUCUCACUUCUUAAGGAACAAGAAUGAUAUUUGUUUGCCACUUAAAGGUACAAAAUGGCUUUGUCACUGGGGCGGUACCUUAAUGGGACAAAAUUGUACCUUUUCCAGAGUUACUUUGUUGUUCCUUUGUUUAAGGUACAUUUUUGAUCCUCAAAGGUACAAUAUUGUCCCUUGUUACGUGCACGCCUAGUGGCAGGGUGAGAGGGAGGUUUAUUGUCCUUUCUCAAAGUAACUUUUAGAUAUAACACUUUAGUGGAGCAGCGGCCUUGCACCCGGUGGUGAUUGGAGGAGAGUGGAACGGUGUCCUGAUUGGGGUCCGGGUAAUUAAGGGGAGGAGUUUAUUGUUUUUAAACUCCCGGAUGGCGGAAAGAAGGGGGGAACCUGAGAGUUGUUUUGGAGAGUGUCACCAUCGACGCGACCGGUUGUCCCCCUGUGUUUUCUGUUUCCCCACGUCUGCGGAUCCAUAUUACGUUGCACACGCCGUGCUUAACAUACCGACUCAAUCUAUAUACGCUGAUCAACCCAACCAACCGAGAGCGAGCUGUCCGCCAAACCGAACGGUGGCUUGGGCUGUCCUGGAGACCGGGGUGGGAGUCUACUGGAGUGGGGUGUAUGUUCCCAUCUUCUGUUUCCACUUUCCACCGGUCAGGGCCUGCCGCUGCGUAGUGUAGCCUUUGGU
RNA transcript from Hypomesus transpacificus, 7326 nucleotides. RefSeq lists it as uncharacterized. The record is from RefSeq and is a predicted model, not a curated record. The transcript has 10 exons. Lineage: Eukaryota; Metazoa; Chordata; Actinopteri; Osmeriformes; Osmeridae.